GCAUAACGCGAAGAACCUUACCUGGCCUUGACAUUGAUAGAAUCUGCUAGAGAUAGCGGAGUGCCCUUCGGGGAGCUUGAAAACAGGUGCUGCACGGCUGUCGUCAGCUCGUGUCGUGAGAUGUUGGGUUAAGUCCCGCAACGAGCGCAACCCUCGUCACUAGUUACUAACGGUUCGGCCGAGGACUCUAGUGAGACUGCCUUCGUAAGGAGGAGGAAGGUGAGGACGACGUCAAGUCAUCAUGGCCCUUACGGCCAGGGCGACACACGUGCUACAAUGGGAUGUACAAUGAGACGCAAUACCGCGAGGUGGAGCAAGUCUAUAAAACAUCUCUCAGUUCGGAUUGUAGUCUGCAACUCGACUACAUGAAGCUGGAAUCACUAGUAAUCGUAGAUCAGCCAUGCUACGGUGAAUACGUUCCCGGGUCUUGUACACACCG
Molecule: ribosomal RNA, 439 nt
Filed under: uncultured bacterium
Lineage: Bacteria
Description: bacterial SSU rRNA
Rfam family: Bacterial small subunit ribosomal RNA
Source: RNAcentral